RNAcentral lists this ribosomal RNA (464 nucleotides) under Vreelandella stevensii. RNAcentral describes it as "partial 16S ribosomal RNA". It matches the Rfam family "Bacterial small subunit ribosomal RNA", at positions 338 to 795 of the family's 1533-position model. The record is from RNAcentral. Lineage: Bacteria; Pseudomonadati; Pseudomonadota; Gammaproteobacteria; Oceanospirillales; Halomonadaceae.
CCUACGGGGGGCUGCAGUGGGGAAUAUUGGACAAUGGGCGAAAGCCUGAUCCAGCCAUGCCGCGUGUGUGAAGAAGGCCUUCGGGUUGUAAAGCACUUUCAGUGGGGAAGAAAGCCUUGGGGCUAAUACCCUCGAGGAAGGACAUCACCCACAGAAGAAGCACCGGCUAACUCCGUGCCAGCAGCCGCGGUAAUACGGAGGGUGCGAGCGUUAAUCGGAAUUACUGGGCGUAAAGCGCGCGUAGGCGGUCUGAUAAGCCGGUUGUGAAAGCCCCGGGCUCAACCUGGGAACGGCAUCCGGAACUGUCAGGCUAGAGUGCAGGAGAGGAAGGUAGAAUUCCCGGUGUAGCGGUGAAAUGCGUAGAGAUCGGGAGGAAUACCAGUGGCGAAGGCGGCCUUCUGGACUGACACUGACGCUGAGGUGCGAAAGCGUGGGUAGCAAACAGGAUUAGUACCCUGGUAGUC